Molecule: ribosomal RNA, 268 nt
Filed under: uncultured archaeon
Lineage: Archaea
Description: partial 16S ribosomal RNA
Rfam family: Archaeal small subunit ribosomal RNA
Source: RNAcentral
UAGGCGUAAAUGAUGCGAGUUAAGUGUGGGGGCGAUCUACGAGAUGGCCCUCGUGCUGUAGGGUAGCCGUUAAACUACGCUGCCUGGGGAGGUACGGUCGCAAGGCUGAAACUUAAAGGAAUUGGCGGGGGGAGGCACCACAAGAGGUGGAGGCUGCGGUUCAAUUGGACUCAACGCCGGAAACUACAUCGGGAGGCGACAGCAGUAUGAUUGCCAGGUUGAUGACCUUGCUUGACAAGCUGAGAGGUGGUGCAUGGCGUAGACGUCU